GUAAAUCUGUAGCAUACAGCUAUAGAAUUGUAAUCUAAAGGCUUUUUAGGGAAGUCAUGGUUCUAGCAUAAGUUCCUUGAAAAGGGAUGUCAUAGAGGGUAAAAGCCCCGUACUUGGCUAGGACCGGACGUACCGAAGGGCUCCAAGAGUCGGGUUGUUUGGGAUUGCAGCCCUAAUUGGGAGAUAAACUUCUUCUAAAGCUAAAUAUUUAUGGGAAACCGAUAGCAAACAAGUACUACGAAGGAAAGAUGAAAAGAACUUUGAAAAGAGGGUUAAAAGACUUGAAAUCGUUGAGAAGAAAAGCGGUAGAAGAGAAAUGAUUUUGCUGAGCAGUAUGUGGCUUUGCGUUGCUUUCUGGGGGAACAGUACUUCAUAGGGCUUACCCUUAGACCAGUUGGCGCAUUGUUGCUUUUGCUCAGUGAAGUGCAAAAUGAGGUCUCGUUCUUGGAAACGUGCGCAUGAAGACUCUGCCCUUGAUGGUGGAAGCAUGCGUAACUCACUUGAACUUGGCCUGAGGGCUCCUUCUGGAGAUUUUGCAAAAAAGGCUUCUACUGACCCGUCUUGAAACACGGACCAAGGAGUCUACCCCAUAUGCGAGUUUUAGGGUGGAAAAACCCGAAAGCGCAACGAAAGUGAGUAUAAGGUGCGAGUCCGCAAGGAUGCAGCAUCGACCAACCUUGAUUUUCGAAUGAAAGGAUUGAGUAAGAGCAUAUUUGGUAGGACCCGAAAGAUGGUGAACUACGCUUGAGUAGGGCGAAGCCAGGGGAAACUCUGGUGGAGGCUCGAAGCGUUACUGACGUGCAAAUUCGAUC
Molecule: ribosomal RNA, 812 nt
Filed under: Paramecium woodruffi
Lineage: Eukaryota; Ciliophora; Oligohymenophorea; Peniculida; Parameciidae
Description: LSU rRNA
Rfam family: Eukaryotic large subunit ribosomal RNA
Source: RNAcentral